This 460-nucleotide ribosomal RNA is filed under the name uncultured bacterium. Its description in RNAcentral is "partial 16S ribosomal RNA". It matches the Rfam family "Bacterial small subunit ribosomal RNA", at positions 355 to 802 of the family's 1533-position model. The record is from RNAcentral.
UGGGGAAUAUUGCACAAUGGGCGCAAGCCUGAUGCAGCCAUGCCGCGUGUGUGAAGAAGGCCUUCGGGUUGUAAAGCACUUUCAGCGAGGAGGAAGGUGGUGAACUUAAUACGUUCAUCAAUUGACGUUACUCGCAGAAGAAGCACCGGCUAACUCCGUGCCAGCAGCCGCGGUAAUACGGAGGGUGCAAGCGUUAAUCGGAAUUACUGGGCGUAAAAGCGCACGCAGGCGGUUUGUUAAGUCAGAUGUGAAAUCCCCGGGCUCAACCUGGGAACUGCAUUUGAAACUGGCAAGCUAGAGUCUCGUAGAGGGGGGUAGAAAUUCCAGGUGUAGCGGUGAAAUGCGUAGAGAUCUGGAGGAAUACCGGUGGCGAAAGGCGGCCCCCCUGGACGAAGACUGACGCUCAGGUGCGAAAGCGUAGGGAGCAAAACAGGAUUAGAUACCCUGGUAGUCCACGCUG